Molecule: ribosomal RNA, 502 nt
Filed under: uncultured bacterium
Lineage: Bacteria
Description: partial 16S ribosomal RNA
Rfam family: Bacterial small subunit ribosomal RNA
Source: RNAcentral
AUUGAACGCUGGCGGCGUGCCUAACACAUGCAAGUCGAGCGGUAACAGGUGUAGCAAUACAUGCUGACGAGCGGCGAACGGGUGAGUAAUGCUUCGGAAUCUACCUUAUGGUGGGGAAUAACUAGCCGAAAGGUUAGCUAAUACCGCAUACGUCCUACGGGAGAAAGCAGGGGAUCGCAAGACCUUGCGCCAAAAGAUGAGCCGAAGUCGGAUUAGCUAGUUGGAAGGGUAACGGCCUACCAAGGCGACGAUCCGUAGCUGGUCUGAGAGGACGACCAGCAACACUGGGACUGAGACACGGCCCAGACUCCUACGGGAGGCAGCAGUGGGGAAUAUUGGACAAUGGGGGAAACCCUGAUCCAGCGACGCCGCGUGUGUGAAGAAGGCCUGCGGGUUGUAAAGCACUUUUAGUGGGGAUGAAAUGUGCAGGGUUAAUACCUCUGCAUUUUGACCUAACCCACAGAAAAAGCACCGGCUAACUCUGUGCCAGCCGCCGCCGUAA